Molecule: long non-coding RNA, 1781 nt
Organism: Camelus dromedarius (Arabian camel)
Lineage: Eukaryota; Metazoa; Chordata; Mammalia; Artiodactyla; Camelidae
Exons: 5
Source: RefSeq, a predicted model, not a curated record
GCUGUGAGACUGGACGACGGCACUAGUUUCCACCCGUGCUGGAAUUCAAAUCCACCCAUAAAACACCAGUGAGGCCCUGUAGUGCCUGUGGCUAUAGGACUCAUUCCUCGCUUUGGGCCAGAUCUGAUCCAAAGGGAUGCCAGCAAAGUCUGCAGCAGACAGGCAUGGCAGUUGUUUGUUUCUUUGUUUGUUUUUGUCUUUUAUACUUCAUUUGAUCAUGAGGUUUCAGAAGCUCCUUUCUCAGCAGCGGGACAGAGAGAGUGCAUCUGUAUGCAUGGGAUGGGGGUAUUUAUUCAUAAAACAGAAAAUGUCUCCAGUGAAGCCAAAUUGUAUGGCGAAUAAAAGGCAUUAAAUAGGGCGUCACCUACUCCAAAUGUGUUUAUGUCCCUUUCUCCUUGACUUAGGUUAUGUCCCUUCCAGAUUUCUGAACUUUCUCACUUGCAAAAUAUAGGUCCAGGGCUGUAUACAUAAGCACACUUCUUACUCUGAUUUUAAGCCAUAAAACAAAAGAACAGUGGUAGGGUGACAGAGUAAUGUGUUGUGAUUUUUGAGACUAUGGAGCCAAAAUUCCAUAAACACAAAUUAACCUCUAAAUGAGAGAUUUUAACAAGAAGGCCUUAUCUUGGGACAAGAUCUAAUUAUCAUCUAUUUGUUGUUAAAUGGGUGGAAAACUGUCUGAGCUUCUCUGCGGAGGAACAGAAAAAUCUUCUACAGCUGUGAAGCCUGCCUUCUCAUGGAAAAUGAGUAAUCAUGUCCAGAAAAGGUUCAAUGUCAGAAAAAACCUAGAAGCGUCUGUUUGGUACCUAUCUUGUGGCUGGAGAAGCUGAGAUGACAAGACUGUCAGCUUGUCAGUUUUAUGAGCACAAAAGAAAUUUCAACUAAGAGUCAAGCUAAAAAUGUCAUCUUUUGUAAAAGCACCCCUUAGACUUCAUUUUCAAAACACUCCAUGUGACUUCUGACUGUAACAUGCAAUUUAUAUUUGCAUUUGGAAAUAAAUACAUUAAGCACAAGAAACAAUGUUUGGUUUAGUAAUGGCAGUUAGACAUAUGAUUGCUGACCUAACAAUAUGAGCAUCUUCAAUAUCAUCCUCAAAAAAAAAAAAAAAAAAGAAAAGAAAAAAAAUGGUCAAAUUCCAUGAGUCUUCAGUUGAUUGGUGGCAAAUGAAGAGGACUGCAAAAUACAGUAGGAAUUGCUUAAAGGAAUAAAUGGCACAAUAAGGUCUUGAAGCCUGGACGUGGAAACACAUAAGAUGCACUGAUGUUGUUUCUGAGCAUAUCUGAAUUCUCUGGCUCAUAGUCGUAAAGGACACAUCAAAAUCAUGGUCCCAUCAAAUCUAUCAUGGAAAAGUCACAUGCAGCCCAGAGAGACAUGGAUCCUUUACUUAGAAAUGAAGACAUUCCUAACUGGCUCUUAUGUAGUAUCAGAAUCCUUUUUUCCCAGAUCUUUGAUUUAUUGUAAGUUUGUAGAGAGGUAUGUGAAUUACUGGCUAACCAACUCACCUCAAGUCAUCAUAUUGGACUUGGGAGCACUCUUUCUAAUCUUUUCUUGUCCAAUUCAGAUAGAAAACAUGCCCAAUUCUGCCUCCCAAAGAUUAAGACAAAGCUUGAUGUGAUUUAAUCAAAUAAAUCUAUGAUGACCAUAAAAUAUAUAUCAUUGUUCAAACUUCACUUUGUUUCUAUUAAUAAUAAAACUUCUAAUCUAAGCACUGCAUUUAGGCAAAAUGACCUCUGUUAGUCAUUGAUUCUACAGUUUUUGAAAACCCAUUCCCAGGGAAAGUUUAA